UUGCUUUCAAAAUCUUUCUGUUUAAACCCGUCGACCUGGAAGCUAUCAAUUAUUGGUAAUAUUAAUAAUUUGGAAAACAAAAGGGCCUGUAAUGGAAUAUUUUUUACUCAACAGUAUACAGCAAAAUUCUAAAUACACUGUUUGGUGGUGCGCCUGUCUGAUGCGGAACGUACAGAUAAGGUAAUAGGUAACAGGUGAAUAUACUAUUGGUAUCGGUGUCGGACUCGAUCCGGAACUUCAUAAUUAUUGGCAAUAUUAAUUACGUGGAAAACAAUCGGGCCUAGAGGGGUGUAAUUUUUAAUCAAC
This 306-nucleotide long non-coding RNA is filed under the name Mytilus galloprovincialis (Mediterranean mussel). The record is from RNAcentral. Lineage: Eukaryota; Metazoa; Mollusca; Bivalvia; Mytilida; Mytilidae.